Trichobilharzia regenti is the source of this 46-nucleotide non-coding RNA. The record is from Rfam. Lineage: Eukaryota; Metazoa; Platyhelminthes; Trematoda; Strigeidida; Schistosomatidae.
GUACUACUAAAGAGUCCCAAACUAGGACGAAACAGUUGUCCAGUAU